RNAcentral lists this ribosomal RNA (406 nucleotides) under uncultured bacterium. Its description in RNAcentral is "partial 16S ribosomal RNA". It matches the Rfam family "Bacterial small subunit ribosomal RNA", at positions 30 to 526 of the family's 1533-position model. The record is from RNAcentral.
AUUGAACGCUGGCGGCAGGCCUAACACAUGCAAGUCGAACGAGUGGCGGACGGGUGAGUAAUGUCUGGGAAACUGCCCGAUGGAGGGGGGUAACUACUGGACACGGUAGCUAAUACCGCAUACCAUCGGAUGUGCCCAAAUGGGAUUAGAGAGUUGGUGGGGUAAGGGCUCACAUAGGCGACGAUCCCUAGCUGGUCUGAGAGGAUGACCAGCCACACUGGGACUGAGACACGGCCCAGACUCCUACGGGAGGCAGCAGUGGGGAAUAUUGGACAAUGGGCGCAAGCCUGAUCCAGCCAUGCCGCGUGUAUGAAGAAGUCCUUCGGGUUGUAAAGUACUUUCAGCGGGGAGGCGUUACCCGCAGAAGAAGCACCGGCUAACUCCGUGCCAGCAGCCGCGGUAAUUC